RNAcentral lists this ribosomal RNA (486 nucleotides) under uncultured bacterium. RNAcentral's name for it is "partial 16S ribosomal RNA". It matches the Rfam family "Bacterial small subunit ribosomal RNA", at positions 30 to 507 of the family's 1533-position model. The record is from RNAcentral.
AUUGAACGCUGGCGGCAUGCCUUACACAUGCAAGUCGAACGGCAGCACGGGUGCUUGCACCUGGUGGCGAGUGGCGAACGGGUGAGUAAUACAUCGGAACAUGUCCUGUAGUGGGGGGUAGCCCGGCGAAAGCCGGAUUAAUACCGCAUACGAUCUACGGAUGAAAGCGGGGGACCUUCGGGCCUCGCGCUAUAGGGUUGGCCGAUGGCGGAUUAGCUAGUUGGUGGGGUAAAGGCCUACCAAGGCGACGAUCAGUAGCUGGUCUGAGAGGACGACCAGCCACACUGGGACUGAGACACGGCCCAGACUCCUACGGGAGGCAGCAGUGGGGAAUUUUGGACAAUGGGCGAAAGCCUGAUCAAGCAAUGCCGCGUGUGUGAAGAAGGCCUUCGGGUUGUAAAGCACUUUUGUCCGGAAAGAAAUCCUUGGCCCUAAUACGGUCGGGGGAUGACGGUACCGGAAGAAUAAGCACCGGCUAACUACGUG